This 432-nucleotide ribosomal RNA is filed under the name uncultured bacterium. RNAcentral's name for it is "partial 16S ribosomal RNA". It matches the Rfam family "Bacterial small subunit ribosomal RNA", at positions 29 to 506 of the family's 1533-position model. The record is from RNAcentral.
AACGAACGCUGGCGGCAUGCCUAACACAUGCAAGUCGAACGAGACCUUCGGGUCUAGUGGCGCACGGGUGCGUAACGCGUGGGAACCUGCCCUUAGGUUCGGAAUAACUCCCCGAAAGGGGUGCUAAUCCCGGAUAAUGUCUUCGGACCAAAGAUUUAUCGCCUUUGGAUGGGCCCGCGUUGGAUUAGCUAGUUGGUAGGGUAAAAGCCUACCAAGGCGACGAUCCAUAGCUGGUCUGAGAGGAUGAUCAGCCACACUGGGACUGAGACACGGCCCAGACUCCUACGGGAGGCAGCAGUGGGGAAUAUUGGACAAUGGGCGAAAGCCUGAUCCAGCAAUGCCGCGUGAGUGAUGAAGGCCUUAGGGUUGUAAAGCUCUUUUACCCGGGAUGAUAAUGACAGUACCGGGAGAAUAAGCUCCGGCUAACUCCGU